GACAAUCGCAUCGACAUAGUCCUCUAGUUCACCGUCUUUCACGUACUAUGUGUCUAUAAUAUGCAUACGUGUGUACAUAUGAAUAUAGUUCGAAAUAAAUAUUUAGCUACAUUCUUUGUUACUUAUUAAAGAAUGGAAACAAUGCGAUCUUGCGGUUGCAAGAAAAUAAGAUCUUGUGUUCUCUCCCAAAAUUGAACAUGAGAUUGUGAAAGCCAAUCUGAAUACUGAAUUGUGAGAUUUUCUAAAUCCUUGGGAGAUUGGUUACAAUCGAAGAACGCGCACGCUCUUGAGAAAGAAUACCUUGGGAAGAUUCACUCAGAAUGGUAGGAGGAGGAAGCAGAAUGUCGAUCCAAAAUGCAACAACUCGAAGAAAAGAAAGCUUCGCUUGGGUUCCUUCGAUGGUUUUCCAAAGACGACUCGAUUCGUGCAAUUUUAAAUUUUGCCAAAACAAUGUACCUUAGAGUAUGAUCUACCACGUGGAACUUUGAUAGAUGAGUGUUGGAUUUGCCGAUGAAAGAAUAGUUAGUUGAUUAAUUACCUUGAAUCGUUGCAGAGAAUAUUCUUCCGCCAUACUCCAAGGCAUCAUCUUCUUGCUGAUAAUGAUGAUGGUGAUAAAAAUGAAAAUAAUAUGAAAGAUAAUGAUAAUAUCGUUGUAAGGCUCUCGAUGCCAGAGAGGGAUCUCUUAUGAUUCUUUAUGAUACGAUGCAAGGUGCCAAUGGGAACAUUGCGUGGUUUAAGAAAACAUAUAACUUCGUAGACAGCAUAAAUUGUAGAAACAAUGAAUAUUUUAUCAUCAUCAUUAGCCUCGUUAAGUAUAAAGAAAUAAAUAAAUAAUAUCCAUUGGAAAAUUUUUUUCAGAAAAUUAGCAGGAUUUGUAAAUUAAAAUCUUGGUCUA
This is a long non-coding RNA of Bombus impatiens (common eastern bumble bee), 895 nucleotides long. RefSeq lists it as uncharacterized. The record is from RefSeq and is a predicted model, not a curated record. The transcript is spliced from 6 exons. Lineage: Eukaryota; Metazoa; Arthropoda; Insecta; Hymenoptera; Apidae.